AUGCUAUUGAAGAGUCCCAAACUAGGACGAAACAGCUGUCCAGUAC
RNAcentral lists this non-coding RNA (46 nucleotides) under Trichobilharzia regenti. The record is from RNAcentral. Lineage: Eukaryota; Metazoa; Platyhelminthes; Trematoda; Strigeidida; Schistosomatidae.